Molecule: ribosomal RNA, 253 nt
Filed under: uncultured bacterium
Lineage: Bacteria
Description: partial 16S ribosomal RNA
Rfam family: Bacterial small subunit ribosomal RNA
Source: RNAcentral
UACGUAUGGUGCAAGCGUUACCCGGAUUUACUGGGCGUAAAGGGAGCGCAGGCGGCGCGCCAAGUCUGAUGUGAAACCCCGGGGCUCAACCCCGGGCAUGCAUUGGAAACUGGCGGGCUGGAGUGCCGGAGGGGUAAGCGGAAUUCCUAGUGUAGCGGUGAAAUGCGUAGAUAUUAGGAGGAACCCCAGUGGCGAAGGCGGCUUACUGGACGGCAACUGACGCUGAGGCUCGAAAGCGUGGGGAGCAAACAGG